UUCCUUGUCCUUUUAGCUCAUGUUCAUCAUUGUUUUGAACACACUAUCGUGUUUAGAUUCAUAUUUAUCAGCAUUAUGCUUUUGGUAUUAUGUUUAUCCUCUUUUCGGUAUGAUUUGAAUCCUGUUGUUUAUUAUUAUUACUUUUUUGAGUUUAGUCUUACGAUUGCUUCCCAAGAUUCACACAAGUUGUGAUUAUGAAAAAGAAAACAGCUUUCUUUUCUGGGUUUCAAGAAACAGAAGCACUAAGUUGUUUUUGAUUUUUCUUUGUUUUAGUGGCUGAAACCAUUUUCAAAAUUUUCCUCUGUUGUUACAGGAAUUAUCACUGAUCUACAAAGGAUUUACGGGAUAACGUCUCCUGAGCGGCUCAACCAGACUGCUGACUCUUACACCAACCACAUAGGUUCUCCAAUUUAAGUUUUAAAGAACAAUGCCAUUAACUGUUUUUACUAGCCUUCCCGUCUCUUUAUCUUGAAGGCAGAUGGAGUUUUGAGUGGUUUGGAUACAACACCAUGCGUCACUUGCUGCUUAGUAUAUAUUCGAGCAAUUUUCUUACUUUGUAUCUUGGUCAUCAACAUUCAGUUUAUAUCUUGAGAUUCUAAACAUUCUUCUACCUGUUUGGGACUGUGGCAGGAGCUUUUCUUCAUCAUUUGUGAGUCUAUCAAAUAUGGACACUGUCAUUAAAGAGUCUAGCGCAAAGGAAACCACUGACGUCAAUCAGCUAAACAUGAUAGAAAAUGAAGUCGAAAUUAACACUGAACGGGCCUGUAAGGGUGUCGGAGGAAUAUUUAUCGGGAAUAUUUGAAUCGCCAACUGUAUUGAAGAAGAAGUAUCAGAUCAACUGAGAGGUUUACAUGGUCAAGCUACCACGGUGAUGCUGCAGCUUCCUGAACCUGUCGCGGACACUCUACCAAAUUGUCUAAGAGUCCACUUGGUGAAUCUGAGUCCAUGUUCUUCAUGAUAUCUUAAUGUAAAUAUCCUUUGAAACUUUUGACAAUUUACUGUGAAUGUAAGUUAAAUCUUCCUGUGUGCUGCUGUAUGGGCAUUGUCUUUAGCUAAUGCAAACUUUCACAAUCAAAUAUAGACUUCUAAAGUUAUUCUAUCAGGGAUCUGUAUCUUUUGUGCUUUCGGACAUAAAGUUAAUAAAAUCAUUUUUAAACC
Brassica napus (rape) is the source of this 1158-nucleotide long non-coding RNA. RefSeq lists it as uncharacterized. NCBI's taxonomy places the organism in Eukaryota, Viridiplantae, Streptophyta, Magnoliopsida, Brassicales, Brassicaceae. The transcript is spliced from 3 exons. The record is from RefSeq and is a predicted model, not a curated record.